This 468-nucleotide ribosomal RNA is filed under the name uncultured bacterium. RNAcentral's name for it is "partial 16S ribosomal RNA". It matches the Rfam family "Bacterial small subunit ribosomal RNA", at positions 28 to 507 of the family's 1533-position model. The record is from RNAcentral.
GACGAACGCUGGCGGCGUGCUUAACACAUGCAAGUCGAACGGAAAGGCCCUGCUUUUGUGGGGUGCUAGAGUGGCGAACGGGUGAGUAACACGUGAGUAACCUGCCCUUGACUUUGGGAUAACUUCAGGAAACUGGGGCUAAUACCGGAUAGGAGCUCCUGCUGCAUGGUGGGGGGUGGAAAGUUUCGGCGGUUGGGGAUGGACUCGCGGCUUAUCAGCUUGUUGGUGGGGUAGUGGCUUACCAAGGCUUUGACGGGUAGCCGGCCUGAGAGGGUGACCGGCCACAUUGGGACUGAGAUACGGCCCAGACUCCUACGGGAGGCAGCAGUGGGGAAUAUUGCACAAUGGGCGGAAGCAUGAUGCAGCAACGCCGCGUGCGGGAUGACGGCCUUCGGGUUGUAAACCGCUUUCGCCUGUGACGAAGCGUGAGUGACGGUAAUGGGUAAAGAAGCACCGGCUAACUACGUG